AAAAAAAUCAAUCAAUUGAAUAUAAUUCCUGCGCUAUCACAAUUAAGUAACCGUCGUACACAGCUAUGGUUGUUUAAAACGGAAAGCAUACGGAAUCUGUAGUAAUCCGGCUACACAAGGCAAUUGCGUUUCGUGGACACCUUGUCGAUGAAACUAGUGUAAACAGGAGCAAUUUUUCGAAUGUCAUUUUUUUGUUUUGUUAAGGCGGUAGAAAAAAAAAACAAUUAUAAACCGUCCAAAAUAUACUGGAUACCUUCACAGUUCAAUUCGAAACGAAGUGAUUCGCCGUGAGUAAUGGCUCAUAUGAUACUAAAUCAUAUUUGUUCAGAACUAAAUGAGUCGGCCGGAGUUAUCGGGCGUGUUGUCAUU
Non-coding RNA from Cinara cedri, 369 nucleotides. NCBI's taxonomy places the organism in Eukaryota, Metazoa, Arthropoda, Insecta, Hemiptera, Aphididae. The record is from the annotation of a GenBank genome assembly.